RNAcentral lists this ribosomal RNA (497 nucleotides) under uncultured bacterium. RNAcentral's name for it is "partial 16S ribosomal RNA". It matches the Rfam family "Bacterial small subunit ribosomal RNA", at positions 28 to 507 of the family's 1533-position model. The record is from RNAcentral.
GAUGAACGCUGGCGGCGUGCCUAAUACAUGCAAGUCGAGCGAACGGACGAGAAGCUUGCUUCUCUGAUGUUAGCGGCGGACGGGUGAGUAACACGUGGAUAACCUACCUAUAAGACUGGGAUAACUUCGGGAAACCGGAGCUAAUACCGGAUAAUAUUUUGAACCGCAUGGUUCAAAAGUAAAAGACGGUCUUGCUGUCACUUAUAGAUGGAUCCGCGCUGCAUUAGCUAGUUGGUAAGGUAACGGCUUACCAAGGCAACGAUGCAUAGCCGACCUGAGAGGGUGAUCGCCCACCCUGGAACUUGGACACGGUCCAGACUCCUACGGGAGGCAGCAGUAGGGAAUCUUCCGCAAUGGGCGAAAGCCUGACGGAGCAACGCCGCGUGAGUGAUGAAGGUCUUCGGAUCGUAAAACUCUGUUAUUAGGGAAGAACAUAUGUGUAAGUAACUGUGCACAUCUUGACGGUACCUAAUCAGAAAGCCACGGCUAACUACGUG